AGUGAACGCUGGCGGUAGGCCUAACACAUGCAAGUCGAACGGCAGCACAGUAAGGGCUUGCUCUUACGGGUGGCGAGUGGCGGACGGGUGAGGAAUACAUCGGAAUCUACUUUUUCGUGGGGGAUAACGUAGGGAAACUUACGCUAAUACCGCAUACGACCUACGGGUGAAAGCAGGGGAUCUUCGGACCUUGCGCGAUUGAAUGAGCCGAUGUCGGAUUAGCUAGUUGGCGGGGUAAAGGCCCACCAAGGCGACGAUCCGUAGCUGGUCUGAGAGGAUGAUCAGCCACACUGGAACUGAGACACGGACCAGACUCCUACGGGAGGCAGCAGUGGGGAAUAUUGGACAAUGGGCGCAAGCCUGAUCCAGCCAUACCGCGUGGGUGAAGAAGGCCUUCGGGUUGUAAAGCCCUUUUGUUGGGAAAGAAAAGCAGCAGGUUAAUACCCCGCUGUUCUGACGGUACCCAAAGAAUAAGCACCGGCUAACUUCGUG
This 492-nucleotide ribosomal RNA is filed under the name uncultured bacterium. Its description in RNAcentral is "partial 16S ribosomal RNA". It matches the Rfam family "Bacterial small subunit ribosomal RNA", at positions 29 to 507 of the family's 1533-position model. The record is from RNAcentral.